This 405-nucleotide ribosomal RNA is filed under the name uncultured bacterium. RNAcentral describes it as "partial 16S ribosomal RNA". It matches the Rfam family "Bacterial small subunit ribosomal RNA", at positions 29 to 525 of the family's 1533-position model. The record is from RNAcentral.
AUUGAACGCUGGCGGCAGGCCUAACACAUGCAAGUCGAACGAGUGGCGGACGGGUGAGUAAUGUCUGGGAAACUGCCCGAUGGAGGGGGAUAACUACUGGAAACGGUAGCUAAUCCCGCAUACCAUCGGAUGUGCCCAGAUGGGAUUAGCGAGUAGGUGGGGUAACGGCUCACCUAGGCGACGAUCCCUAGCUGGUCGGAGAGGAUGACCAGCCACACUGGAACUGAGAAACGGGCCAGACUCCUACGGGAGGCAGCAGGGGGGAAUAUUGCACAAUGGGCGCAAGCCGGAUGCAGCCAUGCCGCGUGUAUGAAGAAGGCUGUCGGGUUGUAAAGUACUUUCAGCGGGGAGGCGUUACCCGCAGAAGAAGCACCGGCUAACUCCGUGCCAGCAGCCGCGGUAUUC